This 615-nucleotide ribosomal RNA is filed under the name Odonteus sp. BMNH 677839. RNAcentral describes it as "partial 16S ribosomal RNA". It matches the Rfam family "Bacterial large subunit ribosomal RNA", at positions 1844 to 2731 of the family's 2925-position model. The record is from RNAcentral. Lineage: Eukaryota; Metazoa; Arthropoda; Insecta; Coleoptera; Bolboceratidae.
UUUAAAGUCUAAUCUGCCCAAUGAUUAAUUUAUUGAAUGGCCGCAGUAUUUUGACUGUGCAAAGGUAGCAUAAUAAUUAGUUCUUUAAUUAAGGACUGGUAUGAAUGAUUGAACGAGAAAGAGACUGUCUCAAUUUAAUUUAAUUAGAAUUUUAUUUUUAAGUUAAAAAGCUUAAAUAAUUUUAAAAGACGAGAAGACCCUAUAGAGUUUUAUAUUUUUUAUAUUAUUAAUUUUAAGAAUUUGAUUAUUAUUAUUAUUAUUAAAAUAUUUUGUUGGGGUGAUAGAAAAAUUAAAGUAACUUUUUUUAUAUUUAAACAUAUAUUUAUGAAUGAAUGAUCCAUAAUUUAUGAUUAAAAGAUUAAAUUACCUUAGGGAUAACAGCGUAAUUUUUUUAGAGAGUUCUUAUCGAUAAAAAAGAUUGCGACCUCGAUGUUGGAUUAAAAUUUACUAUUGGUGAAGAAGCUAAUUAGUUAGGUCUGUUCGACCUUUAAAAUUUUACAUGAUCUGAGUUUAAACCGGUGUGAGCCAGGUUGGUUUCUAUCUUUAAAUUAAAUAAAUAUUUUAGUACGAAAGGACCAAAUAUUUACAAUAAUUGUUAUAUUUAGAAUAAUAUUA